AUGGCUGUCAUUUCCACCGUUUUGUUUUCAGAGAGGGAACAGAAUUCUGUCAAAGACUUCUCUACCAAUAAUUGCAGCAAAAUUCUCUCUUUGUGUGUUUCUUACAUCACACCUGUGUAUGUGAUGAAGUUGAAAGAUUUCUUUCCAAAUAAAGAGUUGAGAGAGGCUCCAUAUUUUGAUGGGCGAGUUGUAUGCUAUCCAAAUAUGAAGACCAUUCGUGAUUAUUUGGCAUGGAGGCAACUGGACUGUAAGCUUCUUUAA
This 261-nucleotide ribosomal RNA is filed under the name Triticum aestivum (bread wheat). RNAcentral's name for it is "partial small subunit ribosomal RNA". The record is from RNAcentral. Lineage: Eukaryota; Viridiplantae; Streptophyta; Magnoliopsida; Poales; Poaceae.